CCUACGGGAGGCAGCAGUCGAGAAUUUUUCUCAAUGGGGGAAACCCUGAAGGAGCGACGCCGCGUGGAGGAUGAAGGUCUUCGGAUUGUAAACUCCUGUCAUUUGGGAACAAUUGUCACCGGUUAACUGCCGGGGGCUUGAUAGUACCAGAAGAGGAAGGGACGGCUAACUCUGUGCCAGCAGCCGCGGUAAUACAGAGGUCCCAAGCGUUGUUCGGAUUCAUUGGGCGUAAAGGGUGCGUAGGUGGCGGGGUAAGUCAGGUGUGAAAUCUCGGGGCUCAACCCCGAAACUGCACUUGAUACUGCCUUGCUCGAGUACUGGAGAGGAGAUUGGAAUUUACGGUGUAGCAGUGAAAUGCGUAGAUAUCGUAAGGAAGACCAGUGGCGAAGGCGAAUCUCUGGACAGUUACUGACACUGAGGCACGAAGGCCAGGGGAGCAAACGGGAUUAGAUACCCCGGUAGUCCUGGCAGUAAACGGUGCGCGUUUGGUGUGGGAGGAUUCGACCCCUUCCGUGCCGGAGCUAACGCGUUAAACGCGCCGCCUGGGGAGUACGGUCGCAAGAUUAAAACUCAAAGAAAUUGACGGGGGCCCGCACAAGCGGUGGAGUAUGUGGCUUAAUUCGAUGCAACGCGAAGAACCUUACCUGGCCUUGACAUGCAUCUCUAAACCGGUGAAAGCCGGCGACUCUCGCAAGAGAGAAUUUGCACAGGUGCUGCAUGGCUGUCGUCAGCUCGUGUCGUGAGAUGUUGGGUUAAGUCCCGCAACGAGCGCAACCCCUGUGAACUGUUGCCACCGGCCGCAAGGCCGAGCACUCUGUUCAGACUGCCCUGUGAAACGGGGAGGAGGGUGGGGGAUGACGUCAAGUCAGCAUGGCCCUUACGGCCAGGCUGCACACGUACUACAAUGCUCAGCACAGACGAACCGAGACCGCGAGGUGGAGGAAAUCUCUAAACUGAGCCCAAUUCCGGAUCGCAGCUGCAACUCGCCUGGCGUGAAGCCGGAAUCGCUAGUAAUGCCG
Molecule: ribosomal RNA, 1019 nt
Filed under: uncultured bacterium
Lineage: Bacteria
Description: bacterial SSU rRNA
Rfam family: Bacterial small subunit ribosomal RNA
Source: RNAcentral